RNAcentral lists this ribosomal RNA (349 nucleotides) under uncultured Chlorobiales bacterium. Its description in RNAcentral is "bacterial SSU rRNA". It matches the Rfam family "Bacterial small subunit ribosomal RNA", at positions 1032 to 1382 of the family's 1533-position model. The record is from RNAcentral. Lineage: Bacteria; Pseudomonadati; Chlorobiota; Chlorobiia; Chlorobiales.
GUACAGGUGCUGCAUGGCUGUCGUCAGCUCGUGCGUGAGGUGUUGGUUAAGUCUCGCAACGAGCGCAACCCCUACUAUUAGUUGCCAUCAGGUUAUGCUGGGCACUCUAAUGGGACUGCCUACGCAAGUAGUGAGGAAGGUGGGGAUGACGUCAAGUCAGCAUGGCCCUUACGCCUAGGGCUACACACGUGCUACAAUGGGUACUACAACGGGUUGCUAAGCCGCAAGGUGGAGCCAAUCCCUUAAAGGUAUCCUCAGUUCGGAUUGGAGUCUGCAACUCGACUCCAUGAAGUUGGAAUUGCUAGUAAUCGCGUAUCAGCGCGACGCGGUGAAUACGUUCCCGGGCCUU